UUUGGUGAUGAUGGCGAGAAGGAUACACCUGUUCCCAUCCCGAACACAGAAGUUAAGCUUCUUUGCGCCGAUGGUACUUGGGGGGCAGCCCCCUGGGAGAGUAGGUCGUCGCCAAUU
Molecule: ribosomal RNA, 117 nt
Filed under: Ketobacter sp.
Lineage: Bacteria; Pseudomonadati; Pseudomonadota; Gammaproteobacteria; Pseudomonadales; Ketobacteraceae
Source: RNAcentral